This 253-nucleotide ribosomal RNA is filed under the name uncultured bacterium. RNAcentral describes it as "partial 16S ribosomal RNA". It matches the Rfam family "Bacterial small subunit ribosomal RNA", at positions 524 to 776 of the family's 1533-position model. The record is from RNAcentral.
UACAGAGGGUGCGAGCGUUGUUCGGAAUUAUUGGGCGUAAAGGGCGCGUAGGCGGUGCGGUAAGUCACCUGUGAAAUCUCCUGGCUCAACUGGGAGCUUGCAGGCGAAACUGCCGUGCUGGAGUGUGGGAGAGGUGCGUGGAAUUCCCGGUGUAGCGGUGAAAUGCGCAGAUAUCAGGAGGAACACCGGUGGCGAAGGCGGGUCUCUGGGCCGAUACUGACGCUGAGGAGCGAAAGCGUGGGGAGCGAACAGG